AGCAGCCGCGGUAAUUCCAGCUCCAAUAGCGUAUAUUAAAGUUGUUGCAGUUAAAAAGCUCGUAGUUGAAUUUCGGGGUCAGUAGGUUGGUCAUGCCACUGGUAUGUACUGAUCUUACUGAUUCCUCCUUCCUGAUGAACCGUAAUGCCAUUAAUUUGGUGUUGCGGGGAGACUGGACUGUUACUUUGAAAAAAUUAGAGUGUUUAAAGCAGGCUAACGCUUGAAUACAUUAGCAUGGAAUAAUGAAAUAGGACGUUCGAUCCUAUUUUGUUGGUUUCUAGGAUAGACGUAAUGAUUAAUAGGGAUAGUUGGGGGCAUUAGUAUUCAAUUGUCAGAGGUGAAAUUCUUGGAUUUAUUGAAGACUAACUACUGCGAAAGCAUUUGCCAAGGAUGUUUUCAUUAAUCAAGAACGAAAGUUAGGGGAUCGAAGACGAUCAGAUACCGUCGUAGUCUUAACCAUAAACUAUGCCGACUAGGGAUCGGAUGAUGUUAAUUUUUUAAUGACUCA
RNAcentral lists this ribosomal RNA (508 nucleotides) under uncultured Glomus. RNAcentral describes it as "SSU rRNA". It matches the Rfam family "Eukaryotic small subunit ribosomal RNA", at positions 569 to 1078 of the family's 1831-position model. Lineage: Eukaryota; Fungi; Glomeromycota; Glomeromycetes; Glomerales; Glomeraceae. The record is from RNAcentral.